RNAcentral lists this ribosomal RNA (619 nucleotides) under uncultured bacterium. RNAcentral's name for it is "bacterial SSU rRNA". It matches the Rfam family "Bacterial small subunit ribosomal RNA", at positions 28 to 632 of the family's 1533-position model. The record is from RNAcentral.
AACGAACGCUGGCGGCGCGUUUUAAGCAUGCAAGUCGAGCGGUAAGGUCCUUCGGGACCCUAGAGCGGCGGACGGGUGAGUAACACGUGGAUAAUCUGCCUUCCAGUUUGGGAUAGCACAUGGAAACAUGUGAUAAUACCGAAUGAGAUACGACAUACAGAGGUAAGUUGUAGGAAAGCUCCUGCGGGAGCGCUGGAAGAUGAGUCCGCGGCCCAUUAGCUAGUUGGCGGGGUAAAGGCCCACCAAGGCGACGAUGGGUAGCCGGCCUGAGAGGGUGGACGGCCACAUUGGGACUGAGACACGGCCCAGACUCCUACGGGAGGCAGCAGCUAAGAAUCUUCCACAAUGGACGAAAGUCUGAUGGAGCGACGCCGCGUGAACGAUGAAGGCCGUAAGGUUGUAAAGUUCUUUUUGGAAGGAAGAAUAAGCUUGGCAGGGAAUGGCCGAGUGAUGACGUGAAUUCCAGAAUAAGCCCCGGCUAACUACGUGCCAGCAGCCGCGGUAACACGUUAGGGGGCGAGCGUUUGUUUCGGAAUUAUUGGGGCGUAAAGGGCACGCAGGCGGCUUGGCAAGUCUGAUGUUAAAAAUUCAGGGCUCAACCCCUGUCUGGCGUUGGGAA